Molecule: long non-coding RNA, 938 nt
Filed under: Chinchilla lanigera (long-tailed chinchilla)
Lineage: Eukaryota; Metazoa; Chordata; Mammalia; Rodentia; Chinchillidae
Description: lncRNA (ENSCLAG00000027179.1)
Source: RNAcentral
ACAGUCUCCAUCCCUGGGUUUCUCUUCCUCCAGAGUUCCUCGCUUGCUGACACAGCCGUGAUCUCUGUCUCAGUUCCAGAGGCAGCGGGGUGAUUUUUGCCAGACGGACCCUUCGGAAGAAGAAUGAAUUUACCAGGCCAUUUGGCCGGGGAGUUUUGCGUUUGCAUGAAGGAGCGCGUGUUUAUUUCCUCAUCCAAAACCAAGUGCUUCCUGGUGCUGGGAAUGGUGCAAGGUGCUGGGGAAAGGGUCGCUGCUGUGGGCCGCUCUGUGGCAUUUGCAUUCUAUGUGCGGGGAAGCAGAACCCUUGGGAAUGCUCGCUCCAGCCUGAACACUGAGCUAAGGUCAAACAGGAUCCUGCUCCCAUUUCUUCUGACUCCAAAUCCUGGCCUUCUAGGCAAACCAGGUAAGGAGGGAGAAGUUCUGUCCCUGAACACCAGCCUUGGGCUAUUGUUUACCUUCACUGAAAACUGCAUCAUGGGUAAAAAAUAAGGCUUAAAGGUUUACUCUUCCUGCUUCUCCACCAAGCCGGUCGCCAUGGCACUGGUCUCGGGAAGACAACGUGCAUCGGCGACACCACAGUGCUCUUGCCAGAACUUUAUCUAUUGAGUAACAGAGCCAGGGCCAGGGGAGCAGGGAAGCCUCAAGCCCUGGCGGUGACAGUAGGAUUGAUACUGAGAGGACUGUCCUGCAGGUCCUUUGCCAGUCCAGCCUAUGAGAGGGGAAGAAUGCUGGCCAACACCUCCAUCACCGAUCGGCAAGAAAAGCAGUUGUUAUUUGCCAUCCUUUGAGUUCUCCAUUGUAACCUUCUGUCCAGGGGUUUGGGACUCUCCAUUUCUUUAUUUGUAAAAUGGGCAUAGGUGGGGGAAAGCGUGAACGGAUCAAGCCAAUUGGUCCCAGAAGAUGUUCCAGGCUCUAAAAAGAGAAAACACAUAUUGGAC